CCUACGGGAGGCAGCAGUGAGGAAUAUUGGUCAAUGGGCGCGAGCCUGAACCAGCCAAGUCGCGUGAGGGAAGACGGUCCUAUGGAUUGUAAACCUCUUUUGUCGGGGAGCAAAAGACGCCACGCGUGGCGUUCCGAGAGUACCCGAAGAAAAAGCAUCGGCUAACUCCGUGCCAGCCGCCGCGGUAAUACGGAGGAUGCGAGCGUUAGCCGGAUUUAUUGGGUGUAAAAGGUGCGCAGGCGGAAGAUCAAGUCAGCGGUAAAAUUGAGAGGCUCAACCUCUUCGAGCCGUUGAAACUGGUUUUCUUGAGUGAGUGAGAAGUAUGCGGAAUGCGUGGUGUAGCGGUGAAAUGCAUAGAUAUCACGCAGAACUCCGAUUGCGAAGGCAGCAUACCGGCGCUCAACUGACGCUCAUGCACGAAAGUGUGGGUAUCGAACAGGAUUAGAUACCCGAGUAGUC
Molecule: ribosomal RNA, 459 nt
Filed under: uncultured bacterium
Lineage: Bacteria
Description: partial 16S ribosomal RNA
Rfam family: Bacterial small subunit ribosomal RNA
Source: RNAcentral